GCUGGCGUGGUCUAAUGGUUAUGAUUUCUCGUUAACACCCAAAAAGUGUCAACUUUCACCGAGAAGGUUCCGCGUUCGAUCCGCGGCGCUAGUA
Non-coding RNA from Diatrype stigma, 94 nucleotides. The record is from the annotation of a GenBank genome assembly. NCBI's taxonomy places the organism in Eukaryota, Fungi, Ascomycota, Sordariomycetes, Xylariales, Diatrypaceae.